AUACGGAGGGUGCGAGCGUUGUUUGGAAUUAUUGGGCGUAAAGCGCGUGUAGGCGGUUUGUUAAGUCUGAUGUGAAAGCCCCGGGCUCAACCUGGGAAGUGCAUUGGAUACUGGCAGACUUGAGUACGGGAGAGGGUAGUGGAAUUCCCAGUGUAGGAGUGAAAUCCGUAGAUAUUGGGAGGAACACCGGUGGCGAAGGCGGCUGCCUGGACCGAUAUUGACGCUGAGACGCGAAAGCGUGGGUAGC
This 247-nucleotide ribosomal RNA is filed under the name uncultured bacterium. RNAcentral's name for it is "partial 16S ribosomal RNA". It matches the Rfam family "Bacterial small subunit ribosomal RNA", at positions 523 to 769 of the family's 1533-position model. The record is from RNAcentral.